UGGGGAAUAUUGGACAAUGGGGGAAACCCUGAUCCAGCGACGCCGCGUGUGUGAAGAAGGCCUGCGGGUUGUAAAGCACUUUUAGUGGGGACAAAAAGCCAUUGAUUAAUAAUUGGUGGUCUUGAUUUAACCCAAAGAAAAAGCACCGGCUAACUCUGUGCCAGCAGCCGCGGUAAUACAGAGGGUGCGAGCGUUAAUCGGAAUUACUGGGCGUAAAGCGCGCGUAGACGGUUUUGUAAGUCAGAUGUGAAAUCCCCGGGCUCAACCUGGGAACUGCAUUUGAAACUGCAUGGCUAGAGUAUGGUAGAGGGAAGUGGAAUUUCCGGUGUAGCGGUGAAAUGCGUAGAUAUCGGAAGGAACACCAGUGGCGAAAGCGACUUCCUGGGCCAAUACUGACGUUCAUGUGCGAAAGCGUGGGGAGCAAACAGGAUUAGAUACCCGUGUAGUCC
Molecule: ribosomal RNA, 449 nt
Filed under: uncultured bacterium
Lineage: Bacteria
Description: bacterial SSU rRNA
Rfam family: Bacterial small subunit ribosomal RNA
Source: RNAcentral